This 72-nucleotide transfer RNA is filed under the name Marmota marmota marmota (Alpine marmot). It matches the Rfam family "tRNA". Rfam says of the family: Transfer RNA (tRNA) molecules are approximately 80 nucleotides in length. The record is from Rfam by way of RNAcentral. Lineage: Eukaryota; Metazoa; Chordata; Mammalia; Rodentia; Sciuridae. RNAcentral also lists the same sequence under 3 other names.
GGGCAUGUAGCUCAGUGGUGAAGUGCUUGCCUACCAUGUGCAAGGCCCUGAGUUUGAUUCUCAGCAUGACCA